RNAcentral lists this transfer RNA (80 nucleotides) under Aspergillus tamarii. RNAcentral's name for it is "tRNA-Thr". It matches the Rfam family "tRNA". From Rfam's summary of the family: Transfer RNA (tRNA) molecules are approximately 80 nucleotides in length. Their secondary structure includes four short double-helical elements and three loops (D, anti-codon, and T loops). Lineage: Eukaryota; Fungi; Ascomycota; Eurotiomycetes; Eurotiales; Aspergillaceae. The record is from RNAcentral.
GCCCUUAUAGCUCAGUGGUACCGAGCGCAUCACUCGUAUGAGGCAUGAUGAGGUCCGCGGUUCGAUCCCGCGUGAGGGCA